UUCGCAAUGCCCGAAAGGGUGACGAAGCGACGCCGCGUGUGGGAAGAAGGCCUUCGGGUUGUAAACCACUGUCGGGAGUUAAGAAAUACAAGGAUAUUAAUAGUGUCUUUGUUUGACUAAGGCUCCGGAGGAAGCCACGGCUAACUCUGUGCCAGCAGCCGCGGUAAUACAGAGGCGGCAAGCGUUGUUCGGAAUUAUUGGGCGUAAAGAGCACGUAGGCGGCUAUGUAAGUCGGUUGUGAAAGCCUUCCGCUCAACGGAAGAACAGCAUCCGAUACUACAUGGCUUGAGUGCGGGAGGGGAGAGUGGAACUUCUGGUGGAGCGGUGAAAUGCGUAGAUAUCAGAAGGAACGCCGGCGGCGAAAGCGGCUCUCUGGCCCAUAACUGACGCUGAGUGCGCGAAAGCUAGGGGAGCAAACGGGAUUAGAUACCCCGGUAGUCCUAGCCCUAAACGAUGGGCACUAAGUAGAGGGGUUUU
Molecule: ribosomal RNA, 477 nt
Filed under: uncultured bacterium
Lineage: Bacteria
Description: bacterial SSU rRNA
Rfam family: Bacterial small subunit ribosomal RNA
Source: RNAcentral